This is a long non-coding RNA of Junco hyemalis (dark-eyed junco), 1605 nucleotides long. Lineage: Eukaryota; Metazoa; Chordata; Aves; Passeriformes; Passerellidae. The record is from Ensembl.
UUUUAAACCAAAAUAUAAUUAGUUUUUUUCCACAUGCAGAAGACAAGGAGUCUGGGGUUUUGUUUCUGAAGCCCACACAGUGCAUUAGGUCAAUCCAGCAGAUGCAUCUCAGGAAGGAGCUACAUUCCUCUUACUUUUAUUUGGACUUGAGAUACCAAAAGAUGCUUAAGCUUUGAUUUUUCAUGUCAUGACACCUCAUUUAGUUUACUCCUACACAAAAUGAUAUGUUAUCUGACCCAAGGGCUUUGCAUCAUGCAUCCACAAAGCAGGGUAGGAAUCAACACAUAAAUCCAAAGCUUAUUUUACUCCUUCCUUUUCUCUACACCCUAUAUAAGGUGUCCAGCUGGUUUGUGGCAAUGGAAUAGUAAUGACAGCAGGAUGGUAAUUUCAUCUUGAGUUUUACAAGCAAGAGGAGGUGCCAAGAAGGAAACCAGGUAUGAAGGUUGCCAAAUAUAUCUUCCAUUUAUCAUCCCAGCUAACAGCAGGUAAAUUAUUUCUGAGUGGCACUUUGGAAAGGGAGGGGAGAAGAGAAGCACACACUAAUAUGUGCUGCAGAGGUGUCUCUGAGGAGUGGCUGGUGUGGCAAGCUAAAGUAUAGUCCUUCCUGCAGGAGGAGUACAGUGUGUUACUCAUGCAGGAAUUCUGGUCACGCUGCUGGAGCUAAAGUACCUGGACACAUACCCAGAUGGUCCAGUGGUAAUACAAAAAGAUUGAUCUGUUUUAUAGGAGCUGGAAAUGAAGAGAAUAUUUUUGUCCAAACAGAGUGCUCUCACCUGGGGCCCCAGCAAUGUUUCAGUCCUGGACAGCAAUUCCCAUACUCUUUUUGCAAAGUAGAGACUUCUAGAAAUGUGCCAGGCAUGAAUUAAAGAUGACUUCAACCAUGCCAAUUUUUGAGCCCUCAGUACAGCACAUGUGUUGGAAGUGAAGUAGCUAGUUUUCCAUUUCCAUUAUUCUUUAUGCAUGUUGAAUAUUGCGUGGAAGGGUUGAAUCUUGUUUUUCUCCCUUUUAGUGAAAUUAGAUAAGAUGGAAAAUUUACAAGUGUUUCUUUUUUUUUUUGUUUUUUUUGUUUUUUUGGUGUUUGAUUCACACAGAUACCCAAAGACUUUUUUCUCUUAACAGCCUAGUGAGAAUCUGAAAUCCAUCCUCUCCCCUCAUAUUGGCAGGCAUGCCUUUCCCAUGCUAAUACGUUAAGUAACUUUUAUUGCGCUGAAGAGCAUAUAAAGUUCACUGCUCUGCCAUGACCUUUUCUCCUUUAAAUUGUUUCAUCAUUGUGACCAAUAAUGGACCAAAGAGAAGACGUAAAAAUGUUAGGGACGUUUAUUUCUGAGGAGGUUAAGCAACUUUUGCUGUGCCCUUUUUACAUUCUUCCAGACCUUCUAAAAAGGGACCGUAACAUGACAGCAAUGCCCCCCUUAAUUACAUUUUGUUGUCAGAGGAAGCAUGCUUUAAAAGAACAGUAACCCAACACUCCUAGAGCUGAGGAUUUCAAUAAUUUCAACCAGGUUCGCAACAUUUGGAAAACCCCAAACCUUCUGUCAACCGACUGAAGCAAAUUUUACGCAUGCAAGAAAUAAAGUCAUGUGGCACAAGGUUCUGUGUUGUGGG